ACGAACGCUGGCGGCGUGCUUAACACAUGCAAGUCGAACGGAAAGGCCCUGCUUUUGUGGGGUGCUCGAGUGGCGAACGGGUGAGUAACACGUGAGUAACCUGCCCUUGACUUUGGGAUAACUUCGGGAAACUGGGGCUAAUACCGGAUAGGAGCUCCUGCUGCAUGGUGGGGGUUGGAAAGUUUCGGCGGUUGGGGAUGGACUCGCGGCUUAUCAGCUUGUUGGUGGGGUAGUGGCUUACCAAGGCUUUGACGGGUAGCCGGCCUGAGAGGGUGACCGGCCACAUUGGGACUGAGAUACGGCCCAGACUCCUACGGGAGGCAGCAGUGGGGAAUAUUGCACAAUGGGCGGAAGCCUGAUGCAGCAACGCCGCGUGCGGGAUGACGGCCUUCGGGUUGUAAACCGCUUUCGCCUGUGACGAAGCGUGAGUGACGGUAAUGGGUAAAGAAGCACCGGCUAACUACGUG
Molecule: ribosomal RNA, 467 nt
Filed under: uncultured bacterium
Lineage: Bacteria
Description: partial 16S ribosomal RNA
Rfam family: Bacterial small subunit ribosomal RNA
Source: RNAcentral